GCCUCCUUGACUGAGUUGUCAGAGCAUCUGCCUAGUAAGCAGAAGGUUGCUGGUUUGAUUCCAGCAGAAGGCA
This 73-nucleotide transfer RNA is filed under the name Basidiobolus meristosporus CBS 931.73. It matches the Rfam family "tRNA". Rfam says of the family: Transfer RNA (tRNA) molecules are approximately 80 nucleotides in length. Their secondary structure includes four short double-helical elements and three loops (D, anti-codon, and T loops). Lineage: Eukaryota; Fungi; Basidiobolomycota; Basidiobolomycetes; Basidiobolales; Basidiobolaceae. The record is from Rfam by way of RNAcentral.